UGUAAGGUUGGAUAAGAGGCAUAACAAACUUCAUUUCCAAAUGGAUGUAUCACUUUCAGAUUCCAGGGAUCAUUUUCUAGUCAGGUGGAUGACUAUCCUUUGGCUGGCUUGGACUUGACUCAUCGAUUCGAAUGAAGUUUAGUUAUUUAUAAGGUGGAUAAAAUAUGAUCUGAUCCAUUAAUCUAAUCUAUAUUUGAUCUAUUAUGAG
Molecule: long non-coding RNA, 208 nt
Filed under: Elaeis guineensis (African oil palm)
Lineage: Eukaryota; Viridiplantae; Streptophyta; Magnoliopsida; Arecales; Arecaceae
Description: long non-coding RNA (EGUI_LNC021140)
Source: RNAcentral